AGAAGCUGCACCAUGUCCAUGUCACCCACGGUCAUCAUCCUGGCAUGUCUUGGGUUCUUCUUGGACCAGAGUGUGUGGGCACACGUGGGUGGUCAGGACAAGCCCUUCUGCUCUGCCUGGCCCAGCGCUGUGGUGCCUCAAGGAGGACACGUGACUCUUCGGUGUCACUAUCGUCGUGGGUUUAACAUCUUCACGCUGUACAAGAAAGAUGGGGUCCCUGUCCCUGAGCUCUACAACAGAAUAUUCUGGAACAGUUUCCUCAUUAGCCCUGUGACCCCAGCACACGCAGGGACCUACAGAUGUCGAGGUUUUCACCCGCACUCCCCCACUGAGUGGUCGGCACCCAGCAACCCCCUGGUGAUCAUGGUCACAGGUCUAUAUGAGAAACCUUCGCUUACAGCCCGGCCGGGCCCCACGGUUCGCGCAGGAGAGAACGUGACCUUGUCCUGCAGCUCCCAGAGCUCCUUUGACAUCUACCAUCUAUCCAGGGAAGGGGAAGCCCAUGAACUUAGGCUCCCUGCAGUGCCCAGCAUCAAUGGAACAUUCCAGGCCGACUUCCCUCUGGGUCCUGCCACCCACGGAGAGACCUACAGAUGCUUCGGCUCUUUCCAUGGAUCUCCCUACGAGUGGUCAGACCCGAGUGACCCACUGCCUGUUUCUGUCACAGACUCUGAUGAACAAGACCCUCAGGAGGUGACAUACGCACAGUUGGAUCACUGCAUUUUCACACAGAGAAAAAUCACUGGCCCUUCUCAGAGGAGCAAGAGACCCUCAACAGAUACCAGCGUGUGUAUAGAACUUCCAAAUGCUGAGCCCAGAGCGUUGUCUCCUGCCCAUGAGCACCACAGUCAGGCCUUGAUGGGAUCUUCUAGGGAGACAACAGCCCUGUCUCAAACCCAGCUUGCCAGCUCUAAUGUACCAGCAGCUGGAAUCUGAAGGCGUGAGUCUCCAUCUUAGAGCAUCACUCUUCCUCACACCACAAAUCUGGUGCCUGUCUCUUGCUUACCAAUGUCUAAGGUCCCCACUGCCUGCUGCAGAGAAAACACACUCCUUUGCUUAGCCCACAAUUCUCUAUUUCACUUGACCCCUGCCCACCUCUCCAACCUAACUGGCUUACUUCCUAGUCUACUUGAGGCUGCAAUCACACUGAGGAACUCACAAUUCCAAACAUACAAGAGGCUCUCUCUUAACACGGCACUUAGACACGUGCUGUUCCACCUUCCCUCGUGCUGUUCCACCUUUCCUCAGACUAUUUUUCAGCCUUCUGGCAUCAGCAAACCUUAUAAAAUUUUUUUGAUUUCAGUGUAGUUCUCUCCUCUUCAAAUAAACAUGUCUGCCUUCA
This 1342-nucleotide unclassified non-coding RNA is filed under the name Homo sapiens (human). RNAcentral's name for it is "killer cell immunoglobulin like receptor, two Ig domains and long cytoplasmic tail 4 (ENSG00000283961.1)". The record is from RNAcentral. Lineage: Eukaryota; Metazoa; Chordata; Mammalia; Primates; Hominidae.